This 491-nucleotide ribosomal RNA is filed under the name uncultured bacterium. RNAcentral's name for it is "partial 16S ribosomal RNA". It matches the Rfam family "Bacterial small subunit ribosomal RNA", at positions 29 to 507 of the family's 1533-position model. The record is from RNAcentral.
AGUGAACGCUGGCGGUAGGCCUAACACAUGCAAGUCGAACGGCAGCACAGUAAGAGCUUGCUCUUACGGGUGGCGAGUGGCGGACGGGUGAGGAAUACAUCGGAAUCUACUUUUUCGUGGGGGAUAACGUAGGGAAACUUACGCUAAUACCGCAUACGACCUACGGGUGAAAGCAGGGGAUCUUCGGACCUUGCGCGAUUGAAUGAGCCGAUGUCGGAUUAGCUAGUUGGCGGGGUAAAGGCCCACCAAGGCGACGAUCCGUAGCUGGUCUGAGAGGAUGACCGGCACCACUGAACUUGGAAAACGUCCCGGCUCCUAAGGGAAGCCACCGUGGGGAAUAAUGGGACAAGGGGGGCAACCUUGACCCACCCAUCCGGGUGGGUUGAAGAGGCCUUCGGGUUGCAAAGCCCUUUUGUUGGGAAAGAAAAGCAGCAGGUUAAUACCCCGCUGUUCUGACGGUACCCAAAGAAUAAGCACCGGCUAACUUCGUG